RNAcentral lists this ribosomal RNA (414 nucleotides) under uncultured microorganism. RNAcentral's name for it is "partial 16S ribosomal RNA". It matches the Rfam family "Archaeal small subunit ribosomal RNA", at positions 459 to 872 of the family's 1478-position model. The record is from RNAcentral.
CAGCCGCCGCGGUAAUACCGGCGGCCCGAGUGGUGGCCGCUAUUAUUGGGCCUAAAGCGUCCGUAGCCGGGCCCGUAAGUCCCUGGCGAAAUCCCACGGCUCAACCGUGGGGCUUGCUGGGGAUACUGCGGGCCUUGGGACCGGGAGAGGCGGGGGGGACCCCUGGGGGAGGGGGGGAAUCCUAUAAUCCCCGGGGGGCCGCCAGUGGGGAAGGCGCCCCGCUGGAACGGGGCCGACGGUGAGGGACGAAGGCCAGGGGAGCAAACCGGAUUAGAACCCCGGGUAGUCCUGGCGGUAAAGGAUGCGGGCUAGGUGUCGGGUGAGCUUCGAGCUCGCCCGGUGCCGGAGGGAAGCCGUUAAGCCCGCCGCCUGGGGAGUACGGCCGCAAGGCUGAAACUUAAAGGAAUUGGCGGG